UUUUUUUUCCUAAAGUAACCCCACAUUUGAUUAACCCAUCCAAUGGUUGAAUAAGAGAAUAAGAAAAGAAGUACGAAAAAAUAAUAUGUAACUUUCCGGUGCCUCUUCAUUCAAUCGAGACUCACAAGGAUUCAACCCAUAGGCAUGCCUUUGUUAAGGUUCUUGCAUCAGCUAUGGCAAGCCUCAAAACUUCUGCCUCACCUUGCUUCAUGCCUUAGUGCACCUAAUGCACCUUCAAUAACACCAGUUGCCCCCAUGUGUAGGCAUCUCUGACCACUUGAAUUAUAGUGGCUAUUUUCCAUGCAGAACAUCAAGGGAAGAAAACCAGGACAACCAACAAAAUUGCUGUUCAAUAUGGCCUUCCAAAUAACAAAACGUAUCAGAUUAAUGAGUCUAUGACUAAGUGCCAAUUGCAGAGAUGCCACUUAACUUGCAUCCACAUGUUGCCACCAGCAUCUGUACUAAAAUGGUUGAACAGGCCUUACAGUCCGUAAAUCAAAGAAUUGAUGGGUCGAUCAGAUCAAGUUAUCACUCAAUAAUUGACAAAAAUAAUUUGGCUUGCCAGCACUAUGCAAGACUAUAAUAUUCAGUAAUUAUCAAUACAAGCAAUACAUAUGGGUCGGAGCAAGGUCCAGGAAGCAAAUUGCUUGUUCACUGGGGGCACACUGCUCCUCAUUGAUCUGUCAUAUACCAUGUUUGGCAUCAAAACUGAAAUGAACCAAGAAAACUGUCACAGAAAAGAACUGCCUGGCUUGGUAAGUCGAUGGGUGGCUCAAUUCUGAUGCAAUAAAGUUGCAAGCUAAGAUCUCCUUUUGAAAUCCAAGGAUGUCAAAAUAAUGGAGGGGGAGUUAGAGACACUCUUCUAUUCCUAAGCUAUUUUCCUGGCAUUCAUUAGUUGUCUUUCUUGUUUUUUUCCUUUUUGAUAUAUGCUAUCAUCACUUCUUGGUAAUGGUAUGGAUCCUUACCGGUCCGAGAAGGGAAUGGUAUGGAUCCAUUAGAUAUAAAACCCUACACCUAUUCUCAUUUUAUAUAACAGUUCUUUUAGAAAGAACAAAUUGAUUUAUAUAUCUGUAAUAUUUAAAUUCCAUUUGAAUUAAAUCAAGAAUAAAAGGCAAAUAAAUUCCUAAUCCCAGCAAGCUUUGAU
RNAcentral lists this long non-coding RNA (1144 nucleotides) under Musa acuminata (dwarf banana). RNAcentral describes it as "long non-coding RNA (MACU_LNC003149)". The record is from RNAcentral. Lineage: Eukaryota; Viridiplantae; Streptophyta; Magnoliopsida; Zingiberales; Musaceae.